UACAGAGGGGGCAAGCGUUGUUCGGAAUUACUGGGCGUAAAGGGCGCGUAGGCGGCCUGUUAAGUCGAACGUGAAAUCCCCGGGCUCAACCCGGGAACUGCGUCCGAAACUGGCAGGCUUGAAUUCGGGAGAGGGAUGCGGAAUUCCAGGUGUAGCGGUGAAAUGCGUAGAUAUCUGGAGGAACAUCGGUGGCGAAGGCGGCAUCCUGGACCGAUAUUGACGCUGAGGCGCGAAAGCCAGGGGAGCAAACGGGAUUAGAAACCCCAGUAGUCC
RNAcentral lists this ribosomal RNA (273 nucleotides) under uncultured bacterium. RNAcentral's name for it is "partial 16S ribosomal RNA". It matches the Rfam family "Bacterial small subunit ribosomal RNA", at positions 524 to 796 of the family's 1533-position model. The record is from RNAcentral.